Molecule: ribosomal RNA, 327 nt
Filed under: uncultured eukaryote
Lineage: Eukaryota
Description: partial 18S ribosomal RNA
Rfam family: Eukaryotic small subunit ribosomal RNA
Source: RNAcentral
CCCUUAGAUGUUCUGGGCCGCACGCGCGCUACACUGACGAAUGCAACGAGCUUAUAACCUUGGCCGAAAGGUCUGGGUAAUCUCCAAAUUUCGUCGUGAUGGGGAUAGAUUAUUGCAAUUAUUAAUCUUCAACGAGGAAUGCCUAGUAAGCGCAAGUCAUCAGCUUGCGUUGAUUACGUCCCUGCCCUUUGUACACACCGCCCGUCGCUCCUACCGAUUGAAUGGUCCGGUGAAGCGUUCGGACCGUGGCCUUUGGACGGUUCGCCGUCUGUUGGCUGCGGGAAGUUCGUUAAACCUUAUCAUUUAGAGGAAGGAGGAGUCGUANCA